Non-coding RNA from Salmo salar (Atlantic salmon), 47 nucleotides. Lineage: Eukaryota; Metazoa; Chordata; Actinopteri; Salmoniformes; Salmonidae. The record is from Rfam.
CCAAAGGCUCUUUUAAAAGCCACCUAAUAAAUGCAAGUAAGCACUGU